AGAGUUUGAUCCUGGCUUAGGACGAACGCUGGCGGCGUGCUUAACACAUGCAAGUCGAGCGAUGAAGCUCUCGGGAGUGGAUUAGCGGCGGACGGGUGAGUAACACGUGGGUAACCUGCCUCAUAGAGGGGAAUAGCCUUCCGAAAGGAAGAUUAAUACCGCAUAAGAUUGUAAUAUCGCAUGAUAUAGCAAUUAAAGGAGCAAUCCGCUAUGAGAUGGACCCGCGUCGCAUUAGCUAGUUGGUGAGGUAACGGCUCACCAAGGCGACGAUGCGUAGCCGACCUGAGAGGGUGAUCGGCCACAUUGGGACUGAGACACGGCCCAGACUCCUACGGGAGGCAGCAGUGGGGAAUAUUGCACAAUGGGGGAAACCCUGAUGCAGCAAACCGCCGCGUGAGUGAUGACGGUCUUCGGAUUGUAAAGCUCUGUCUUCAGGGACGAUAAUGACGGUACCUGAGGAGGAAGCCACGGCUAACUACGUGCCAGCAGCAGC
Molecule: ribosomal RNA, 493 nt
Filed under: uncultured bacterium
Lineage: Bacteria
Description: bacterial SSU rRNA
Rfam family: Bacterial small subunit ribosomal RNA
Source: RNAcentral